RNAcentral lists this ribosomal RNA (185 nucleotides) under uncultured Bacteroidota bacterium. RNAcentral describes it as "uncultured Bacteroidetes bacterium partial 16S ribosomal RNA". It matches the Rfam family "Bacterial small subunit ribosomal RNA", at positions 121 to 306 of the family's 1533-position model. The record is from RNAcentral. Lineage: Bacteria; Pseudomonadati; Bacteroidota.
GCAAUCUGCCUUACACUAAGGGAUAGCCCAGAGAAAUUUGGAUUAAUACCUUAUAGUAUAUUUUUGUGGCAUCACAGGAUUAUUAAAGAUUUAUCGGUGUAAGAUGAGCAUGCGUCCCAUUAGCUAGUUGGUAUGGUAACGGCAUACCAAGGCUAUGAUGGGUAGGGGUCCUGAGAGGGAGAUCC